RNAcentral lists this ribosomal RNA (1511 nucleotides) under Klebsiella pneumoniae ISC21. RNAcentral describes it as "SSU rRNA". It matches the Rfam family "Bacterial small subunit ribosomal RNA". Lineage: Bacteria; Pseudomonadati; Pseudomonadota; Gammaproteobacteria; Enterobacterales; Enterobacteriaceae. The record is from RNAcentral.
UUAAAUUGAAGAGUUUGAUCAUGGCUCAGAUUGAACGCUGGCGGCAGGCCUAACACAUGCAAGUCGAGCGGUAGCACAGAGAGCUUGCUCUCGGGUGACGAGCGGCGGACGGGUGAGUAAUGUCUGGGAAACUGCCUGAUGGAGGGGGAUAACUACUGGAAACGGUAGCUAAUACCGCAUAAUGUCGCAAGACCAAAGUGGGGGACCUUCGGGCCUCAUGCCAUCAGAUGUGCCCAGAUGGGAUUAGCUAGUAGGUGGGGUAACGGCUCACCUAGGCGACGAUCCCUAGCUGGUCUGAGAGGAUGACCAGCCACACUGGAACUGAGACACGGUCCAGACUCCUACGGGAGGCAGCAGUGGGGAAUAUUGCACAAUGGGCGCAAGCCUGAUGCAGCCAUGCCGCGUGUGUGAAGAAGGCCUUCGGGUUGUAAAGCACUUUCAGCGGGGAGGAAGGCGAUAAGGUUAAUAACCUUGUCGAUUGACGUUACCCGCAGAAGAAGCACCGGCUAACUCCGUGCCAGCAGCCGCGGUAAUACGGAGGGUGCAAGCGUUAAUCGGAAUUACUGGGCGUAAAGCGCACGCAGGCGGUCUGUCAAGUCGGAUGUGAAAUCCCCGGGCUCAACCUGGGAACUGCAUUCGAAACUGGCAGGCUAGAGUCUUGUAGAGGGGGGUAGAAUUCCAGGUGUAGCGGUGAAAUGCGUAGAGAUCUGGAGGAAUACCGGUGGCGAAGGCGGCCCCCUGGACAAAGACUGACGCUCAGGUGCGAAAGCGUGGGGAGCAAACAGGAUUAGAUACCCUGGUAGUCCACGCCGUAAACGAUGUCGAUUUGGAGGUUGUGCCCUUGAGGCGUGGCUUCCGGAGCUAACGCGUUAAAUCGACCGCCUGGGGAGUACGGCCGCAAGGUUAAAACUCAAAUGAAUUGACGGGGGCCCGCACAAGCGGUGGAGCAUGUGGUUUAAUUCGAUGCAACGCGAAGAACCUUACCUGGUCUUGACAUCCACAGAACUUUCCAGAGAUGGAUUGGUGCCUUCGGGAACUGUGAGACAGGUGCUGCAUGGCUGUCGUCAGCUCGUGUUGUGAAAUGUUGGGUUAAGUCCCGCAACGAGCGCAACCCUUAUCCUUUGUUGCCAGCGGUCCGGCCGGGAACUCAAAGGAGACUGCCAGUGAUAAACUGGAGGAAGGUGGGGAUGACGUCAAGUCAUCAUGGCCCUUACGACCAGGGCUACACACGUGCUACAAUGGCAUAUACAAAGAGAAGCGACCUCGCGAGAGCAAGCGGACCUCAUAAAGUAUGUCGUAGUCCGGAUUGGAGUCUGCAACUCGACUCCAUGAAGUCGGAAUCGCUAGUAAUCGUAGAUCAGAAUGCUACGGUGAAUACGUUCCCGGGCCUUGUACACACCGCCCGUCACACCAUGGGAGUGGGUUGCAAAAGAAGUAGGUAGCUUAACCUUCGGGAGGGCGCUUACCACUUUGUGAUUCAUGACUGGGGUGAAGUCGUAACAAGGUAACCG